AGAGUUUGAUCCUGGCUCAGAACGAACGCUGGCGGCAGGCUUAACACAUGCAAGUCGAACGCCCCGCAAGGGGAGUGGCGCACGGGUGAGUAACGCGUGGGAAUAUGCCCUUCGGUUCGGAAUAACACAGGGAAACUUGUGCUAAUACCGGAUACGAUCUACGGAUGAAAGAUUUAUCGCCGAGGGAGUAGCCCGCGUAGGAUUAGCUAGUUGGUGAGGUAAUGGCUCACCAAGGCGACGAUCCUUAGCUGGUCUGAGAGGAUGAUCAGCCACACUGGGACUGAGACACGGCCCAGACUCCUACGGGAGGCAGCAGUGGGGAAUAUUGGACAAUGGGCGAAAGCCUGACCCAGCAACGCCGCGUGGGUGACGAAGGCCUUCGGGUCGUAAAGCCCUUUUCCACGGGAAGAUGAUGACGGUACCGUGGGAAUAAGCCCCGGCUAACUACGUGCCAGCAGCCGCGGUAAUACGUAGGGGGCGAGCGUUGUCCGGAUUUACUGGGCGUAAAACGCUUGUAGGUGGCCACGCCAAGUCGGAUGUGAAAUCUCCCGGCUUAACUGGGAGGGGUCAUUCGAUACUGGCGGGCUCGAGGCAGGUAGGGGGAAGCGGAAUUCCCGGUGUAGUGGUGGAAUGCGUAGAUAUCGGGAGGAACACCAGUGGCGAAGGCGGCUUCCUGGACCUGUUCUGACACUGAGGAGCGAAAGCGUGGGGAGCGAUCCGGAUUAGAUACCCGGGUAGUCCACGCCGUAAACGGUGGGCACUAGGUGUCGGGGGUAUCGACCCCUCCGGUGCCGCAGCUAACGCACUAAGUGCCCUGCCUGGGGAGUACGGCCGCAAGGCUAAAACUCAAAGGAAUUGACGG
Molecule: ribosomal RNA, 862 nt
Filed under: uncultured bacterium
Lineage: Bacteria
Description: bacterial SSU rRNA
Rfam family: Bacterial small subunit ribosomal RNA
Source: RNAcentral